AUGGAUCUUCGGGGUAAGGUGAAAUUCCUAACCGGCGGUGAUGGUGCGUUACUUGUGAACGUGCUUUAGCCCGCGACUCGCUGUUUCGAGAUUGAGAUGGCGACUGACUUGGUGUAAUUCCAAGGCCGACGGUAUAGUCCGGAUGGGAGAAGAUCAAA
Molecule: non-coding RNA, 158 nt
Filed under: Paenibacillus uliginis
Lineage: Bacteria; Bacillati; Bacillota; Bacilli; Caryophanales; Paenibacillaceae
Also listed under: 1 other name
Description: FMN sequence
Rfam family: FMN riboswitch aptamer (RFN element)
About the family: The RFN element is a highly conserved domain that is found frequently in the 5'-untranslated regions of prokaryotic mRNAs that encode for flavin mononucleotide (FMN) biosynthesis and transport proteins. This element is a metabolite-dependent riboswitch that directly binds FMN in the absence of proteins. In Bacillus subtilis, the riboswitch most likely controls gene expression by causing premature transcription termination within the 5' untranslated region of the ribDEAHT operon and precluding access to the ribosome-binding site of ypaA mRNA.
Source: RNAcentral